Molecule: transfer RNA, 54 nt
Filed under: Perinereis cultrifera
Lineage: Eukaryota; Metazoa; Annelida; Polychaeta; Phyllodocida; Nereididae
Description: tRNA-Arg
Source: RNAcentral
GAUUGUAUACAUUUGGUUUCGGCCCAAAUUACGACAUUUUUUAUUGUCCAAUCU